RNAcentral lists this transfer RNA (72 nucleotides) under Camelus bactrianus (Bactrian camel). It matches the Rfam family "tRNA". From Rfam's summary of the family: Transfer RNA (tRNA) molecules are approximately 80 nucleotides in length. Their secondary structure includes four short double-helical elements and three loops (D, anti-codon, and T loops). Lineage: Eukaryota; Metazoa; Chordata; Mammalia; Artiodactyla; Camelidae. The record is from Rfam by way of RNAcentral. RNAcentral also lists the same sequence under 2 other names.
GAGGGUAUAGUUCAGUGGUAAAGUCCAUGCUUAGCAAGCAUGAGGUCCUGGGUUUAAUCCCCAGUACCUCUG